GGAGAGGCUGAGGGAUUUGGGCUUGUUUAGUCUGCAGAAGAGAAGAAUGAGGGGGGAUUUGAUCAGAAGCGCUUUCUAAAAUGGGAUGUUGUGAUCCAGGGACUUCUCAGUGCAAACUGGAAGAGAGCACCAGGGAGAGCCCAGGGUUUUAGAGGGAUCCCCUUUCAGAUAUGUGCAUAACAGUUCACAGAAGAGUGCAGGUGAGUUCUCUACCGAGAGCCGGUAAUCAGCCCACUGGCCACUGUCAUCAUUGCAAAAUGUGGAGAGGACAAUGGUUGGAAAACAGCCUCGUCUGGAGAAGAAGACAGUGGGGCCUGUGAGGAGCUCUCUGAUUUAGAUUGAGGAGAGUGCUGCUGUGACUCCGUCUUCAGCCAAGGACGGUAGAAAAGGAAUGGAGGGAGGCUCGUACCGCGCGCGCGUCUAACUGACGAAACCAGCACGAGUUGGGGACUGCGCAGGCGCGGGGCGGAAAGGCACUACUGAGCAAAACUCUGAUCAGCGGAGUGAGGACGCACUGAGACCUGAGUGGAGCACCCACAGGGAUACCACUCAAAGGAGAAAUCAUCUCCCCCCACCCGCCCAGCUGCUAUUGGGUAUAGGGGCACCAGUUGAAUAGUAUUGAGUAGGGCCCCAUAAAACCCAAGGACAGCCCGGCCCCCACUAUUAAAAGGGUUCCAGCUCCAUUGAUGAGGUUUCCUUAUGCUAAAAGCAGGUAGGGGCGAUGUGUCUUACAACCCUGGCUACCCCGGAAGUGUCACAUGCCUAUUUCCUCUUCCCCCAACCCGACUUGAUUGUUUUCUAUGAUUCUCUUGGUUGACUUACAUUUCUCUAACUUAAUGGUCAGAGUCUCCUCAUGGGCCCUUGAGUAAUUCCAUUGAUUUCCAGGGGGUUGGGCCAGACGUACACCAGUUUUACUGAGGUUGGAAUUUGGCCCUUAGUUUGUUCCAGACAGCAGUUCCAUCUGUGACAGGCUGUUUGCCCUGCACUGGCCCUUGAAGGGCAAAACUCCAGCCCUAAGAGAGGGCUGAGAGUGAGGGCCCAGCUGGGGGCUGUAUAAAGAAGGACUCCUGGAGGG
Non-coding RNA from Pelodiscus sinensis (Chinese soft-shelled turtle), 1075 nucleotides. Lineage: Eukaryota; Metazoa; Chordata; Testudines; Trionychidae. The record is from RefSeq and is a predicted model, not a curated record.